RNAcentral lists this ribosomal RNA (140 nucleotides) under Clostridiaceae bacterium. Its description in RNAcentral is "partial 23S ribosomal RNA". It matches the Rfam family "Bacterial large subunit ribosomal RNA", at positions 2785 to 2925 of the family's 2925-position model. Lineage: Bacteria; Bacillati; Bacillota; Clostridia; Eubacteriales; Clostridiaceae. The record is from RNAcentral.
GCGUGAAGCUCACCCUAAGAUGAGAUAUCCCACCUAUAACGGGUAAGACCCCAUGUAGACUACAUGGUUGAUAGGUCGGAGGUGUAAGUGUGGCAACACAUUGAGCUGACCGAUACUAAUAGGUCGAGGGCUUGACCAAA